Myotis brandtii (Brandt's bat) is the source of this 76-nucleotide non-coding RNA. NCBI's taxonomy places the organism in Eukaryota, Metazoa, Chordata, Mammalia, Chiroptera, Vespertilionidae. The record is from Rfam.
GGUGGGGGGAGGGGAAGUCCCUGAGCCUGGAUUGUGAGAGGGUGCCGGCCAGGCUGAGGGACCCCACCAGUGCACG